UACGGAGGGUGCAAGCGUUAUCCGGAUUCACUGGGUUUAAAGGGUGCGUAGGUGGGUCUGUAAGUCAGUGGUGAAAUCUCCGGGCUUAACUCGGAAACUGCCGUUGAUACUAUAGAUCUUGAAUAUCGCGUAGGUAAGCGGAAUAUGUCAUGUAGCGGUGAAAUGCUUAGAUAUGACAUAGAACACCAAUUGCGAAGGCAGCUUACUAUGGUUUUAUUGACACUGAGGCACGAAAGCGUGGGGAUCAAACAGG
RNAcentral lists this ribosomal RNA (253 nucleotides) under uncultured bacterium. RNAcentral describes it as "partial 16S ribosomal RNA". It matches the Rfam family "Bacterial small subunit ribosomal RNA", at positions 524 to 776 of the family's 1533-position model. The record is from RNAcentral.